CCUUUGACGUUAGCGGCGGACGGGUGAGUAACACGUGGGUAACCUACCUAUAAGACUGGGAUAACUUCGGGAAACUGGAGCUAAUACCGGAUAAUAUUUCGAACCGCAUGGUUCGAUAGUGAAAGGUGGUUUUGCUAUCACUUAUAGAUGGACCCGCGCCGUAUUAGCUAGUUGGUAAGGUAACGGCUUACCAAGGCGACAAUACGUAGCCGACCUGAGAGGGUGAUCGGCCACACUGGAACUGAGACACGGUCCAGACUCCUACGGGAGGCAGCAGCC
RNAcentral lists this ribosomal RNA (279 nucleotides) under uncultured Staphylococcus sp. RNAcentral's name for it is "partial 16S ribosomal RNA". It matches the Rfam family "Bacterial small subunit ribosomal RNA", at positions 83 to 355 of the family's 1533-position model. Lineage: Bacteria; Bacillati; Bacillota; Bacilli; Caryophanales; Staphylococcaceae. The record is from RNAcentral.